CAUGGAUUGGUCCACGCCAAUUUUUCGUCCACAGUUUUAUCUCGUAGAUUAAUCCACGCUACCAUGUUGUAUGGGAUGAGCAGUUAUCCCAUACUUCACAUCUAUAUUUACCUAAAAUAAACCUACUUUAUUUUUACUGUUGCAAUCUGUCACAGAGAACCGCCGCUGCCCCUGUUUCUUCGUUUUCCACUGCAACUCCGACCACUGCUUCUUGCUUCACCACUCAUCGUUGCAACUUCGACUAGCACUGCACCAAACUGUCACCUGUUAUUAUUUAUCAUUCGAAUCCAAACAGAUUCUGCAUUCUACUUCCUACUUCUUGAGGAGCCACUAGCCUGGUACACUCCCCAUCUAAAAUGAAGUGGCUCAACAUGCAAUUAAAGAUAUUUAUGGGAAGUCAAGCUCAUCCUUGUAGCUAAGCUAAUUAUUGAUAGAAUGCGUGACGCUGACGACAAGAAAUGUGGCUGGCUGCUGACGGGAAGAGAAAGAUUUUUAAAUUAGACUUUGUGCAUUGUAACGGGAUUUAUUCCUCAUAGGGGCGGCUCACAGUCACAUCCACCGUGCAUUGGGAAUAUCUCCCAUAAAUAGAGGAGAUAUGUUCAUGCAUGUAAGGUUGGUGUGAGGCGUCCUCUGUGAGUAGCAGAUCAUUUCACAUCGGCUUGCGGCUUGUUCUACUUGGGAUCUCCUGUUCACAAGAACUUUGUCCAUUUCUACCCAUGAUAUAUUAUUUCUGUGUAUUGAAAAUAUCUUCUGUGCAUAAUAUUAUGUAAGAGGAUGAAAUAUUCUCCAUGUAUGAUGAGCCCACCGCCAGCCAUGGAUGGUUGUUCAGUCGUGAACGAGUUAAGAAAUGCUUACUACAUUUUUUUCACCAAAAGGGAAAGAACAAACGCUUUACCUGACAAGCCCAACAAGUCAACAUUCAACA
Nelumbo nucifera (sacred lotus) is the source of this 925-nucleotide long non-coding RNA. RefSeq lists it as uncharacterized. NCBI's taxonomy places the organism in Eukaryota, Viridiplantae, Streptophyta, Magnoliopsida, Proteales, Nelumbonaceae. The record is from RefSeq and is a predicted model, not a curated record.